AUGGAAACAGUUUAUAGUAUUCGAGUUUCUUAUGAUACUCCCACUAUUUCGAACGAGAAGAAUUUUGCUUAUGUGGAGAGUAAUAAAAUUUCUAUGCUUGUAGAUCAUGAAAAGAAUGCUUUAUGUGAUAGUUAUAUUGUUGAAUUCAUUCAAGAAUCUACUGAAAAUUAUUAUGAGGGAGGAAUAUAUGCUUGUAGGAAUUGCAAUAAUAUCAAGUUUCCUCUCUAUGUGCAUAAAGUUUUGAAGUUAUGCUUGUUUUGCCUUCCUAUGCUAGUUACUUAUUGUUCCCAUAAGUUGUUUGCUCACAAAAUCCCUAUGCAUAGGAAGUGGGUUAGACUUAAAUGUGCUAUUCAUAUUCUUCAUGAUGCUAUCUUUUCAAUUCUUAUCUUUUAUGUGAGCAUCAUUGAAAUCAUCAUGCCUAGCUAG
RNAcentral lists this ribosomal RNA (426 nucleotides) under Triticum aestivum (bread wheat). RNAcentral describes it as "partial small subunit ribosomal RNA". Lineage: Eukaryota; Viridiplantae; Streptophyta; Magnoliopsida; Poales; Poaceae. The record is from RNAcentral.